This 506-nucleotide unclassified non-coding RNA is filed under the name plant metagenome. Its description in RNAcentral is "partial contains internal transcribed spacer 2 and large subunit ribosomal RNA". The stretch from base 1 to 108 matches the Rfam family "5.8S ribosomal RNA", at positions 50 to 154 of the family's 154-position model. The record is from RNAcentral.
GAAAUGCGAUACGUAGUGUGAAUUGCAGAAUUCCGUGAAUCAUCGAAUCUUUGAACGCAAACUGCGGUCCCGAGGCUUCGGCUUCGGACCACGCCUGUUUGAGGGUCAGUAAACCAUCUCAUAUGCAUAUGUAUGUAUGUAUGUAUGUAUGUAUGUAUGUAUGUAUGCUUAUGGAAUAUGCGAGUCACAUUUCUUUUGUGAUGAUGUGUCUUGUUAAAUGUAGAGAGGCUUGGGUGUUAUCAAUAGAAAAAUCCCUCUUCUCUUUUUUUUUUCUCAGUGAGAUAGCUGCCACGUGCAGAUAUCGCUGGUGAAAAAAAACAAAAAGUAAGAAUUGGUGAUGGAUAACAUUUUUUUUUCCCAUAUGGCCCUAUAUCUCUCUUUUUUUAUUUAUUUUUUGGUUUGUUGUCAACAACAACAACAACAUCAAUCGAAAAAUAAAUUUAAAAAAAAGAUCCUUUCAUUACACUUGACCUCAAAUCAGACGAGACUACCCGCUGAACUUAAGC